AUGACCAUCGCAUUCUUUUCCAUCCUCCUAGUCCUAGUCCUAUCAGCCAUUUCUGUAGCUGCUUCCUCUCCCAACCGCAAUGGCAGUGACACAGACCUUGCCACUCUGCUGGCUUUCAAAGCCCAGUUCUCCGACCCUCUUGGUGUCCUUGCCGGCAACUGGACAACCAGCACAUCAUUCUGCCACUGGGUCGGCAUCAGAUGCAGCCGGCGGAGGCAGCGAGUCACAGCUCUGUCGCUGCCGGAUACACCUCUCUAUGGACCCAUCACACCUCACCUCGGUAACCUCUCUUUCCUCUCUGUCCUCAGUCUCAACAACACCAACAUCACGGGUUCCAUCCCACAUGAUUUAGGUAGACUACAUCGCCUUGAAUUCCUGAGACUUGGCUACAAUGGCCUGUCAGAUAGCAUCCCUCCUACUAUAGGAAACCUCUCAAGGCUUCAAGUUCUUGACCUAAAACUGAACCUCCUAUCUGGUUCAAUCCCGCUAGAGCUACGUAACCUGUACAAUCUUGCCUAUAUAAAUCUCAUGAAAAAUUCCAUUAGUGGAUCUAUACCGACCGACAUGUUUAACAAUACCCCUAUGUUAACUUAUUUAAACUUCGCCAACAAUAGCCUGUCAGGGUCAAUACCAUCCUGCGUUGGCUCCUUGCCACUGCUCCGCAACCUUAUUAUGCAUUACAAUCAUCUCACCGGCCUAGUGCCUCCUUCCAUUUUUAACAUGUCUAAACUGCAGGGUAUCUAUCUCACCCAUAACUACUUAACUGGUUCUUUCCCUACAAAUGCAAGUUUCAAUCUCCCGAUGCUACAGAUUAUUGCCAUAGGACAGAACAAUUUCACAAGCCAUGUUCCAUUGGGCCUUGCGUCUUGUCAAUACCUCAAAGUUAUUUCCUUCUCCCUUAAUUCAUUUGAGGGUGUUGUGCCAACAUGGCUAGGCAAGUUGACUCGUCUCAUUUGGUUGGCCAUGGGCGAGAAUGGCCUUUUCGGGUCAAUUCCUAGAGCUCCUUGA
Molecule: ribosomal RNA, 1008 nt
Filed under: Triticum aestivum (bread wheat)
Lineage: Eukaryota; Viridiplantae; Streptophyta; Magnoliopsida; Poales; Poaceae
Description: partial small subunit ribosomal RNA
Source: RNAcentral